This 253-nucleotide ribosomal RNA is filed under the name uncultured bacterium. RNAcentral describes it as "partial 16S ribosomal RNA". It matches the Rfam family "Bacterial small subunit ribosomal RNA", at positions 524 to 776 of the family's 1533-position model. The record is from RNAcentral.
UACGUAGGCAGCGAGCGUUGUUCGGAGUUACUGGGCGUAAAGAGUGCGUAGGCUGUGGUCCAAGUCUGGUGUGAAAUCUCCCGGCUCAACCGGGAGGGUGCGCCGGAAACUGGGCUGCUUGAGUGCCGGAGAGGCAGGCGGAAUUCCUGGUGUAGCGGUGAAAUGCGUAGAUAUCGAGAGGAACACCUGCGGCGAAGGCGGGUUGCUGGGCUGACACUGACGCUGAGGCGCGAAAGCUAGGGGAGCGAACGGG